Molecule: ribosomal RNA, 497 nt
Filed under: uncultured bacterium
Lineage: Bacteria
Description: partial 16S ribosomal RNA
Rfam family: Bacterial small subunit ribosomal RNA
Source: RNAcentral
GAUGAACGCUGGCGGCGUGCCUAAUACAUGCAAGUCGAGCGAACGGACGAGAAGCUUGCUGCUCUGAUGUUAGCGGCGGACGGGUGAGUAACACGUGGAUAACCUACUUAUAAGACUGGUAUAACUUCGGGAAAUCGGAGCUAAUACCGUAUAAUAUUUUGAACCGCAUGGGUCAAUAGUGAAAGACGGUCGUGCUGUCAGGUAUAGAUGGAUCCGCGCUGCAUUAGAUAGUUGGUAAGGUAACGGGUUAUCAAGGCAACGAUGCAUAGCCGACCUGAGAGGGUGAUAGGCCACACUGGAACUGGAACACGGUCAAGACUCCUACGGGAGGCAGCAGAAGGGAAUCUUACGCAAUGGGCGAAAGCCUGACGGAGCAACGCCGCGUGAGUGAUGACGGUCUUCGGAUCGUAAAACUCUGUUAUUAGGGAAGAACAUAUGUGUAAGUAAAUGUGCACAUCUUGACGGUAACUAAUCAGAAAGCCACGGCUAACUACGUG